UGGGAAACAAAAUCAAAGAGAGGAUUUCUGAUCGGGUGGAAGGAAAGAAUAUUAACUGGCAAAAUUCUUCAUGGUACGAAAGGGAAAGAAAAUGAUAAUGAGUAUAGUAAAGAACUGGAGAUGUAUUCAGGCUCUGUUCACAAGCUUCUAUCAUCACAAUGCUGCAAGAUAACUCUGUGUAGAUUUUAUUGGCUGGAAUUCAGACCGUUGACCUGUGUCCUGGAUGGCUGCCAACAAUGCUGUUAGAGCUGAGUUAGACUAUCUCCCUAAAGGGAUGGAUGUGCUGUUCCAACGGAACACCCAUGGGAUCUCCGAUAUCAGGGUUCUUAGCAGAGGCUGUAAUGCAGAGACUCAAACAUACCGGUCUGCCAACCAUCCAACCCAAACUUUGGGUCUGCUAUGUGGAUGAUACUUCUGUUAUCACUAAACGAAACAAAUUAGAGGAAACCUUCAAGACCAUCAAUAAUACCCUUACUGGCAUAAAAUUCACUAAAGAGGAGGGAAACAACAAAAAACUGCCAUUCUUAGAUGUCAUAGUAGAGCAAACAGCAAAUGGGGAACUUCAAACCAGCGUCUACAGGAAAACAACAUAUACUGACCAAAUAUUGAACUACAGAAAACAAUCAUCCCAACACUCAUAAACGAAGCUGCAUCAGAACAUUAUUUCAAUGAGCUAACACACGCUGUAGCACAGAGGAACUACGCAGAGCAGGGAAAAAUCACCUAUACCGUGUAUUCAAAAAUAAUGGGUACCCAAUGAACACAGUCCGCCAAUUUCUCAGCAAAAACCCCAAACAAGAAGACAAAACAUGCCCAGAAACCCUAGCCACUCUCCCCUACAUCAAAGACAUCUCGGAAAUGACUGCCAGACUACUCAGACCCCUUGGUAUCAUGGUAUCCCACAAACCCACUAACACACUAAAACAACAGCAAAUGAACUUGAAAGACUCUAUCCAAACAACAAGCAAAACUAAUUUCAUUUACAAAAUACUGUGCAAGGACUGUAACAAACACUACAUUGGACAAACAGGCAGAAAACUAGCCACCAGGAUACAUGAACACCAACUAGCCACAAAAAGACAUGACCCUCUCUCACUAGUAUCCUCACAUAAAGAUGAGGAAGGAGAUCACUUUGACUGGGACAACACAUCCAUCCUAGGACAAGCCAAGCAAAUACACGCACGAGAAUUCUGAGAAGCGUGGCAUUCCAACUGGAACUCUAUCAACAAACACAUCAAUCACCCCCUGAGAAAAGGAACAGGAAGUGACUUCACCACAGGAAAUAAUAUCAUCACAGGAAAUGACAUCACCAACGAAAGAAACCCAAACAUGUAAAUAGAAUUUACAUGCAAGAAUUUUCAGCAUUGCUUCGCCUGAGGCCCACUGAAGAUGUUACCUAGUAGGGGAACGAAAUGUCGAGAAAUGAACCUUUCGGCUCAGCGAGCAAACUUACAUCCAAAACCUCAACCUGAGCUACAAAUCUUCUCAAAGCUCACUAACAGAAAUAGUACGAUUGGCCUCAGUCUCCUAGUAUCCUGUCAGGGGUGUCGCCAGUUUUUAAUGCACGUGUGAUGUUGGUAGAUGGCAGGAUUGGGCUCAGAUAUAGUAACUCUUCAACCCUCUGAGCAGAAUAAACUGUGUCUGAAGUCAGAUCCAUUCAAGCAAGAUAUAAGAGAAUGACUUGGCUCCCUUAGUCUGAACAUAGCAAGAACGCACACAGCUUUGAU
This is a long non-coding RNA of Hemiscyllium ocellatum (epaulette shark), 1727 nucleotides long. RefSeq lists it as uncharacterized. NCBI's taxonomy places the organism in Eukaryota, Metazoa, Chordata, Chondrichthyes, Orectolobiformes, Hemiscylliidae. The transcript has 3 exons. The record is from RefSeq and is a predicted model, not a curated record.